Non-coding RNA from Podarcis lilfordi (Lilford's wall lizard), 139 nucleotides. NCBI's taxonomy places the organism in Eukaryota, Metazoa, Chordata, Lepidosauria, Squamata, Lacertidae. The record is from the annotation of a GenBank genome assembly.
CUUCCAGUAGCACCUUAGAGACCAGCUAAGUUUGUUACUGGUAUGAGCUUUCGUGUGCAUGCAUAAGUCUGAAGAAGUGUGCAUGCACACAAAAGCUCAUACCAAUAAACUUAGUUGGUCUCUAAGGUGCUACUGGAAG